This 660-nucleotide ribosomal RNA is filed under the name uncultured bacterium. Its description in RNAcentral is "bacterial SSU rRNA". It matches the Rfam family "Bacterial small subunit ribosomal RNA", at positions 94 to 788 of the family's 1533-position model. The record is from RNAcentral.
AGUGGCGGACGGGUGAGUAACGCGUGAGAAUCUGCCUUGGGGUCGGGGACAACCACUGGAAACGGUGGCUAAUACCGGAUAAGCCGAUUGGUGAAAGAUUUAUUGCCCGAAGAGGAGCUCGCGUCUGAUUAGCUAGUUGGUGAGGUAAGAGCUCAUCAAGGCAGCGAUCAGUAGCUGGUCUGAGAGGACGAUCAGCCACACUGGGACUGAGACACGGCCCAGACUCCUACGGGAGGCAGCAGUGGGGAAUUUUCCGCAAUGGGCGAAAGCCUGACGGAGCAAGACCGCGUGAGGGAGGAAGGCUCUUGGGUUGUAAACCUCUUUUCUCAGGGAAGAAGCUCUGACGGUACCUGAGGAAUCAGCCUCGGCUAACUCCGUGCCAGCAGCCGCGGUAAUACGGAGGAGGCAAGCGUUAUCCGGAAUUAUUGGGCGUAAAGCGUCCGCAGGUGGCGAUUCAAGUCUGCUGUCAAAGCACGGGGCUUAACUCCGUAAAGGCAGUGGAAACUGAAUAGCUAGAGUGCCGUAGGGGUAGAGGGAAUUCCCGGUGUAGCGGUGAAAUGCGUAGAGAUCGGGAAGAACAUCGGUGGCUAAAGCGCUCUACUGGACGGCAACUGACACUCAGGGACGAAAGCUAGGGGAGCGAAUGGGAUUAGAUACCCC